AUAAAUUCGAGUUUACAAAAUAAAUUAAUAAUUUAUUUUUUGUACCUUGGGUAUCAGGGUUGAUUUAAAUUAUUAAUUUAUUUUGUAAUCUCGAAUUUAUAAGAGCUACAAUAAAAUUUAUUUUACUGUAAAAUAAUUAUUUAAAAUUUUGUUGUUGAAGUUAAAUGCUAGUCGUUUUUAAAUAUAUCUAGUUUUUCAAGAAAUGAAUUUAAUUCAGAUUUAUUAAAUUAAUGAAUCUUUUUUUUGAUUUUUUAAUUUUUAAAUUUAAUUUACCUGGGGAUUAGCUUUGGUAAAAAUUUUUAUUAUUUUUAAUUUUGUUAAAUUUAUAGGAUUAAAAUUUUCUGUUUUUGUGUUUGUUACAAAUAGUUUAUUUUUUAUUUUGUUUUGUAUAGUGUAUAAGUUUUAUAUUGAAAUAAAAAUUUUAUUUUUUUAUAUUUUGGAAUAGUGAUUGAAUUAGUAGAUUAAGUUUUAAAUUUAUUUUAAUUAAAAAGGUUAUAAUAAGGAACUCGGCAAUUUAAUUUUCCACCUGUUUACUAAAAACAUGGCCUUUAGAUUUUAAUUUAAGGUCUGGCCUGCCCAAUGAUUAAUUUGAAUGGCCGCGGUAUUUUGACCGUGCUAAGGUAGCAUAAUCAUUAGUUUUUUAAUUGGAGACUGGAAUGAAAGGUUUGAUGAGAAAAUUUCUGUCUCUUUAUAAUUUAUUUGAAUUUUAUUUUUUUGUAAGAAAGCUAAAAUGUAUUUGAAAGACGAUAAGACCCUAUAGAGUUUUAUUAAUACUAAUUUUAUUUGUUUUGGUAAAAAUUUUAUUUAAAUUUAAUUUUAAUUUAAUUGGGGUGAUUGAAAAAUUUUAAAAACUUUUUUUAAAAAUUGACAUUUGUAAAUGAAUAUUUGAUCCAUUUUUAGUGAUUACAAGAUUAAAUUACCUUAGGGAUAACAGCGUAAUUUUUUUUGAGAGUUCUUAUCGAAAGAAGAGAUUGCGACCUCGAUGUUGGAUUAAAAUUAAAUUUUGGCGCAGAAGUCAAUAUAUUAAGUCUGUUCGACUUUUUAAAUUUUACAUGAUCUGAGUUUAGACCGGCGUGAGCCAGGUUGGUUUCUAUCUUCAAUAAUUUAAAUUACUUUAGUACGAAAGGAUUUGGUUUAAUUGAUUAAUAAUUUGGAUUUGAAUUUUAUU
Molecule: ribosomal RNA, 1168 nt
Filed under: Chrysomeloidea sp. 1 KM-2017
Lineage: Eukaryota; Metazoa; Arthropoda; Insecta; Coleoptera
Description: partial 16S ribosomal RNA
Rfam family: Archaeal large subunit ribosomal RNA (bases 471-1168)
Source: RNAcentral